UGUUCGAGCGCCAUUUCAACCCUCGAGCCCUGCUCGGUGAUGGGCCCCGUCCUUGCAGACGGGCCCGAAACCCGUGGGCGCCGACGUCCGGUCCUGAGCGUAGCAAGAGAAAUCCCUCGCUCGGGCACCGUCCGCCGGCCGCCUCGACCCAAACUCACAAGGUUGGCCUCGGAUCAGGCGGGAAUACCCGCUGAACUUAA
This 200-nucleotide unclassified non-coding RNA is filed under the name soil metagenome. RNAcentral's name for it is "partial contains internal transcribed spacer 2 and large subunit ribosomal RNA". The record is from RNAcentral.